This is a long non-coding RNA of Ostrinia nubilalis (European corn borer), 654 nucleotides long. RefSeq lists it as uncharacterized. The transcript has 3 exons. The record is from RefSeq and is a predicted model, not a curated record. NCBI's taxonomy places the organism in Eukaryota, Metazoa, Arthropoda, Insecta, Lepidoptera, Crambidae.
AUCGAAACUCAAAGAGGUUAGAGAUAAAAAGAAGAAGAAAUCAGACAGAUCUGAUAGUAACAAUAACGAAGGGACCAAGUGCGAAUCCCUGCCGAAUAACGUCGAUCUAAAAUUAAAGGCAAGCGGGCUCAGCUCCUUGGGUGAAACAGAUUUGCUGCUGAAGCUCGGGAAUUCUGGCAAAGGUACAUUGAAUUUGGACGCGAGCGGAAUAUCAAAUGUGGGUAAAGCCCGACUAGACCUGGCUGUCGGGGAAGGCAGUAUUUACGUCCCGGGAUUAAAUAAUUUGUUCGUCGGCAAACCCUUCAUAAAUAACUGCGACAAACAAAACGAAACAGACCUAGCUAAAGAGAGGCCCAUCCAGAAUUUGGGGAACGAAUUAUUAGAUUAUCGCAGAAGUGGUCCAAACGUGAAUGGAGAUAAAUUACCCAAAGAAAAUAACGAUGAAGCGAAUAAAGAAUUAAUAAAAGACGAUCAAAACAAAACAGAAUCGAUAACGACGGUUGGUAUUGAUACGACGGUUGAGAACGGAAAAAGUAAUUUGACUACGACAGUUGCCGUUGAAAAUAACACUGUCGAUUUGGGGAAUACCACAACGAAGGCUUAAUUUGUUUUUAAAUCAAGAUCAGGAAAAAAAAUAAAAAUGAGAAAAGCGUA